This is a long non-coding RNA of Spinacia oleracea (spinach), 1383 nucleotides long. RefSeq lists it as uncharacterized. Lineage: Eukaryota; Viridiplantae; Streptophyta; Magnoliopsida; Caryophyllales; Amaranthaceae. The transcript has 3 exons. The record is from RefSeq and is a predicted model, not a curated record.
UGUCUCUUACUCUCCCCUUCCUCUCUUUACGGUUACCCACCUCCCAAACGACACCUUCAUUCAGAUUUCAAUUUCCUGUCUUUUAUCCUUCCCUUCCCCAAUAAUAAUUUCAAAAACCGCUCUCAUUAAAAUCCUCUCCCACUAAUUAAUUAAUUCCUCUUUCUAGAUUAUCCUGUGUUCCAAAAUUGCUAUACAGUAAUGGGAUUUUGGUUUAUGAAAAAGAUGAAGAAAAGAGGAGUGAUGGGCUUUUCAAUUGCGAAUAAUGAAGAAUUUGGUAUCUAUUCUGCCAUUGAAGAAGAAGAAUAAAAUGGUUAUGAAUAUUUUGAAUCUACAACAACGACAGUAGUCUGGCGAAGAAAGGAUGGGCGAAGAAUCGGAUCUUGACAAAGUUCGUUCUCUCACAAAUCGAAUUGAGAUUGCAAAGAUGCGGAGUAUUUUCAUUAAGAACAGUAUAAUGGAAAGCACUUCAUCAAAGUAAUCAAUCCCAUUGUUAUUCAUGGACUUUUAUAGUUGUAUGGCUGGGUUUUGUUGUUGAAUCAGGCAAGUUCUAUAUGAAAUUAAUAAUCGUCUUUUUCAAUUGCUUUUUUGCCAAAUUUUGUUGAAGUAAUGAAAAGGUUGUUGUUGAAAUCAAUUAUAAAAUGGACAUCUGACAUAGAAAUAAGAAAUGUUAAUGUCGGCCUCUUUUGGUCAUUCCGUGGGUGUAACCACGACGGCUCCUAUCUUAGAUGACGUUGGGUACAAACGAAUCAGUAUAUGUUCUGGGUAUUAUUAGUUUACCGAUUAUUGGUUUAAUUGAUUUGUUGCCAUUUAUUUUUUUUUCAAAUGAAAAAUAAUAAUUGAUUGUAGGUGAAGAGAAAUAGCGACGUUUCAAUGUGUAAAAUAUUUGGGUUAAAUUGUUUAAAUAACUGAAAAGGGUAACUGAUAACUGUUCAUCCAAAUGUUCUCAAAAUAAUUGCCUAUAUAAGGAUUUAUGCACUCAACUUAAUACACAUUAUGUCAUUAGAAAUCUGAAAAUUUUAGUUACUCCAUUGUUCACCGUUAACGAUAAGUAACUCAAUCGUAUGUGCUUCAUGUCUCAUUUGUAAUCGGUUUUCUGAAUUUCAAGUAAUUUUCUCAAAAUUCUCGAACUUUAUUGUUGAUAGGAGAAUUUUGUACAUAUCCACUGGGUUUAUUUCUUAAUUUGUUCAUAAUGUAUUUUAAUAUUUUCUGUAAACUUUAAUUUGUUGUCCAGACAAUUUCAACAAGUGUGAUUUUGAUAUCCCAUAAAUUGUUUUCAUCUCAAACUUAAAUGAUAGCCAUGGUCUUUUAUUGGAAAUAUAAAUAUAAAUAAUUUAUCAAAUUUGGUUGUAAUUUUUGAAACUUCUUGUGUUCUCUUCUAUGAUU